RNAcentral lists this ribosomal RNA (411 nucleotides) under Triticum aestivum (bread wheat). RNAcentral's name for it is "partial small subunit ribosomal RNA". Lineage: Eukaryota; Viridiplantae; Streptophyta; Magnoliopsida; Poales; Poaceae. The record is from RNAcentral.
AUGAAGAAGACCACUUUUUUCGAGUGGAACGAUAAGGCGGAUGAAGCUUUUAUCCAGCUAAAGAAGAUGCAGACCACUCCGCCUGUCCUGGCGGCUCCGACUCCUAAGGAGCCCAUGCUCCUCUACAUCGCCGCCACCAGCGGGGUGGUCAGCACGGUCAUAGUUGUGGAACGAAAGGAAGAAGGCAAAGCACUACCGGUCCAGAGGCCGGUGUAUUACCUGAGUGAAGUGUUGUCUGCCUCCAAGCAGAAUUACCCCCAUUAUCAGAAGAUGUGCUACGGCGUGCAUUUUGCCGCCAAGAAGCUGAAGCCAUACUAUCAAGAGCACCCAAUCACUAUGGUCUGCACUGCUCCGCUUGCUGAGAUCAUUGGAAGCCGAGAUGCUUCAGGCCGGGUGGCCAAUGGGCCAUAG